RNAcentral lists this ribosomal RNA (455 nucleotides) under uncultured Treponema sp. RNAcentral describes it as "bacterial SSU rRNA". It matches the Rfam family "Bacterial small subunit ribosomal RNA", at positions 341 to 792 of the family's 1533-position model. Lineage: Bacteria; Pseudomonadati; Spirochaetota; Spirochaetia; Treponematales; Treponemataceae. The record is from RNAcentral.
ACGGAAGGCAGCAGCUAAGAAUAUUCCACAAUGGACGAAAGUCUGAUGGAGCGACGCCGCGUGGACGAUGAAGGCCGAAAGGUUGUAAAGUCCUUUUGAACCUGACGAAUAAGGUGUAUGAGAGUACGCUGGUGACGGUAGGGUUUGAAUAAGCAACGGCUAAUUACGUGCCAGCAGCCGCGGUAACACGUAAGUUGCGAGCGUUGUUCGGAAUUAUUGGGCGUAAAGGGCAUCUAGGCGGUUGCGUAAGCUUGGUGUGAAAGGCUGAGGCUCAACCUCAGGACUGCAUUGAGAACUGCGCAACUAGAGUCACUGAAGGGCAAUCAGAAUUCCAGGUGUAGGGGUGAAAUCUGUAGAUAUCUGGAAGAAUACCAAUGGCGAAGGCAGAUUACCGGCAGAUGACUGACGCUGAAGUGCGAAGGUGCGGGGAGCAAACAGGAUUAGAUACCCUGGUA